Molecule: ribosomal RNA, 1343 nt
Filed under: uncultured bacterium
Lineage: Bacteria
Description: 16S ribosomal RNA
Rfam family: Bacterial small subunit ribosomal RNA
Source: RNAcentral
GACGAACGCUGGCGGCGUGCUUAACACAUGCAAGUCGAACGGAAAGGCCCUGCUUUUGUGGGGUGCUCGAGUGGCGAACGGGUGAGUAACACGUGAGUAACCUGCCCUUGACUUUGGGAUAACUUCAGGAAACUGGGGCUAAUACCGGAUAGGAGCUCCUGCUGCAUGGUGGGGGUUGAAAAGUUUCGGCGGUUGGGGAUGGACUCGCGGCUUAUCAGCUUGUUGGUGGGGUAGUGGCUUACCAAGGCUUUGACGGGUAGCCGGCCUGAGAGGGUGACCGGCCACAUUGGGACUGAGAUACGGCCCAGACUCCUACGGGAGGCAGCAGUGGGGAAUAUUGCACAAUGGGCGGAAGCCUGAUGCAGCAACGCCGCGUGCGGGAUGACGGCCUUCGGGUUGUAAACCGCUUUCGCCUGUGACGAAGCGUGAGUGACGGUAAUGGGUAAAGAAGCACCGGCUAACUACGUGCCAGCAGCCGCGGUGAUACGUAGGGUGCGAGCGUUGUCCGGAUUUAUUGGGCGUAAAGGGCUCGUAGGUGGUUGAUCGCGUCGGAAGUGUAAUCUUGGGGCUUAACCCUGAGCGUGCUUUCGAUACGGGUUGACUUGAGGAAGGUAGGGGAGAAUGGAAUUCCUGGUGGAGCGGUGGAAUGCGCAGAUAUCAGGAGGAACACCAGUGGCGAAGGCGGUUCUCUGGGCCUUUCCUGACGCUGAGGAGCGAAAGCGUGGGGAGCGAACAGGCUUAGAUACCCUGGUAGUCCACGCUGUAAACGGUGGGUACUAGGUGUGGGGUCCAUUCCACGGGUUCCGUGCCGUAGCUAACGCUUUAAGUACCCCGCCUGGGGAGUACGGCCGCAAGGCUAAAACUCAAAGGAAUUGACGGGGCCCCGCACAAGCGGCGGAGCAUGCGGAUUAAUUCGAUGCAACGCGUAGAACCUUACCUGGGUUUGACAUGGAUCGGGAGUGCUCAGAGAUGGGUGUGCCUCUUUUGGGGUCGGUUCACAGGUGGUGCAUGGCUGUCGUCAGCUCGUGUCGUGAGAUGUUGGGUUAAGUCCCGCAACGAGCGCAACCCUUGUUCACUGUUGCCAGCACGUUAUGGUGGGGACUCAGUGGAGACCGCCGGGGUCAACUCGGAGGAAGGUGGGGAUGACGUCAAGUCAUCAUGCCCCUUAUGUCCAGGGCUUCACGCAUGCUACAAUGGCUGGUACAGAGAGUGGCGAGCCUGUGAGGGUGAGCGAAUCUCGGAAAGCCGGUCUCAGUUCGGAUUGGGGUCUGCAACUCGACCUCAUGAAGUCGGAGUCGCUAGUAAUCGCAGAUCAGCAACGCUGCGGUGAAUAAGUUCCCGGG